This is a long non-coding RNA of Pelobates fuscus (common spadefoot toad), 1675 nucleotides long. RefSeq lists it as uncharacterized. The record is from RefSeq and is a predicted model, not a curated record. The transcript has 7 exons. NCBI's taxonomy places the organism in Eukaryota, Metazoa, Chordata, Amphibia, Anura, Pelobatidae.
CAAAAUUGAUCAUCUGCAUAAUUCAGAAUGCAUGCAAGACUGUGACUGACAGACAGACAGACAGACAAACACUCCAGAUCUGGGAGCUAAGAUGUAUCAAGUGAGCUUGCAGACGAAUGAGAGAUCGCAGACAAAACGUGAACUGUAGCAACUUCAAGCUUGCAAACAGCGCACUUCAACUUUAAAUCCCCUCAUCACAUGAUCUUCAAGGAUUACUUGCAGCUUGCUUGAUGUGAAGAAUCCUCAAAUUAUGGAAACAUCUCACCAAUGACUGGUACCACUAUAACCUACGAUGUGAGGAAGGCGAUCAACGGUACCCCGAAUGAGAUGCGUUCAGUGAAAGGAGCAUUGGACAUGAAGACCUCACAUUUUUUGGAUAAUGCCCAAGGAAUAGCAAGAUCUCCAGCUCUCUCUCUCUACGAUAGGUUAGCAGCACAACAUAACUGAAAAAAAAAGCAGAUGAGAUGGUGAAACGCUGAAGAUAUUCUAAACAAGAUUCUGCUUAUAUCCUUCAGUGGGCAGAAGGACAAGCCGGGCCAAAUUGAUGAUUUUCGUUUUCUGUGAAAGAACGAGGAUUUAAAAAAAAAAAUUAAAUUGGAAAUGUUAUAGCUUCUGUGCCAUUUUCCUGUAUAGAAGCUAUAAGGAAUCAGAGAUCCUGGGAUUGUGGUUUGCCUUCUUAAACCAAAGACAGAUUAAGCCCCCUGGUGAUAGCAAAAUAUUUUUGAGGGUUGACUUUACCUCUUCUUGUGUCAAUAGUAUUUAAACCUGUAUGUCUUUUCUACAUCCCUUCUGCUGUAACACUUACUAGUCAGCUUGUUAGAAAAGGGCUUAUCUAUUGAAUUCUAAACUCUGAUGAAUACUAAUUUUGUUAUUUUCCUCUCAAAACGUUUUAUUACUAUUUUUACAUUCCAAGUAAGCGAAAGACAAGCUGUUAUUACAUGUUAUAGUUUAUGGGGCCCAAGUUAUCAAAAUGGAUUUUUAUGUGGGGGCAAAAAAAAAAAAAAACAGAAAAACACUACGGGACACUCGAACAAUGUUUGUUGUUUGAUCUUUUGGAAAUGAGCACAAAAAUGCAAAAUUUCAGUUUUGGAUUGAUAUCAAUCGAGGUAACAGUGAAACCAGUUUAACCCUUGGCUUACUGACUGGCGGGAGCAACACUUUGCUUUACACUGCAUUGUCUCCCUGUCAUGUCAGCCAAACGGUUAAUCUCCUAGUGUCUUCUACUAAAUAGAUGUUGUUAGACUGUAUGUUGCUGAAUUUGAGCAGAACUCUAAGGAUACCCACAAUAUAUUUUUGGAAGAAGAAUUCUCCGGAAUGAUGUUGGACUUUUCCUAGUCCCUGAGACCCUAACUUGUGAGGAUUUUUUAGCAAUGAUCACAAGUUAGGCUCUUGGGACCUAGGCGGAGGGGAACCAGCAACUUUUGGACUGUAAUGAUUGUGUACCUGCGAUUAAGGAAUGAACCAUGUCACCGAAUCUGAGAUAAGAGCUGUAUUCUAAAAUGCUUUUUUUAAUUUUGUUUUGGUAUAAACUGUCCAUUUCCUUGCCUUUCGAACAACAUAUCCAGACAAUCGAUCAUAUACUCGUAAAGCUACAAAAGACUGUUUCACGUUAUUUUAAUAACGUCUUUUAUUGUGAAUUGUACAUAAAGUGAGAAUUAUACAAAAUAUUAAAGAC